GACGAACGCUGGCGGCGUGCCUAAUACAUGCAAGUAGAACGCUGAAGGAAGGAGCUUGCUCUUUCCGGAUGAGUUGCGAACGGGUGAGUAACGCGUAGGUAACCUGCCUGGUAGCGGGGGAUAACUAUUGGAAACGAUAGCUAAUACCGCAUAACAGUGGAUAUCGCAUGAUAUUUGCUUGAAAGGUGCAAUUGCACCACUACCAGAUGGACCUGCGUUGUAUUAGCUAGUUGGUGAGGUAACGGCUCACCAAGGCAACGAUACAUAGCCGACCUGAGAGGGUGAUCGGCCACACUGGGACUGAGACACGGCCCAGACUCCUACGGGAGGCAGCAGUAGGGAAUCUUCGGCAAUGGACGGAAGUCUGACCGAGCAACGCCGCGUGAGUGAAGAAGGUUUUCGGAUCGUAAAGCUCUGUUGUAAGAGAAGAACGAGUGUGAGAGUGGAAAGUUCACACUGUGACGGUAUCUUCC
RNAcentral lists this ribosomal RNA (473 nucleotides) under Streptococcus infantis. Its description in RNAcentral is "bacterial SSU rRNA". It matches the Rfam family "Bacterial small subunit ribosomal RNA", at positions 28 to 483 of the family's 1533-position model. Lineage: Bacteria; Bacillati; Bacillota; Bacilli; Lactobacillales; Streptococcaceae. The record is from RNAcentral.